AAUUAACUCAAAAAAUAUGUUCUGUAACCAUAUGGUCCCCAAGGAGAAAUGUAUUCUCUCAAGGCAAAUCUGCACUGCCCUGGUCUGACCUGGGACUCUGGGGACACUGCCCCUGUGCUGAGUUGCUGAGAUGAGCCAGCCCUGCAGCUGUGCCCAGUCUGUCCCAUCCCCUGCUGAUUUGCAUGUUCCCAGAGCACAACCCUCUGCCCUGAAGAAUUCUUUAUAGGCUGAUCACACCCUGUGCAGGAGUCAGUCUCAGUCAGGACACGGCAUGGACAUGAGGGUCCCCGCUCAGCUCCUGGGGCUCCUGCUGCUCUGGCUCCCGGGUGCCAGAUGUGACAUCCAGAUGACCCAGUCGCCAUCUUCUCUGUCUGCAUCUGUAGGAGACAGAGUGACCAUUACUUGCCAGGCGAGUCAGAGCCUUAGCAAUUAUUUAAAUUGGUAUCAGCAGAAACCAGGGAAAAUUCCUAAGCUCCUGAUCUAUAGGGCAUCCAGUUUGCAAAGUGGAAUUCCCUCUCGGUUCAGCGGCAGUGGAUCUAGGACGGAUUACACUCUCACCAUCAGCAGCCUGCAGCCUGAAGAUUUUGCCAGUUAUUACUGUCAACAGGGUUAUAGUUACCCUCCCACAGUGUUACAAGUCAUAACAGAAACCCCCAAGGAAGCAGAUGUGUGAGGCUGGGCUGCCCCAGGGCUCCUUCUGGUGCCUCUAUCUGCUGAGGGCAUUUCUCACAGUCACGUUUUGAUAGUCAUUGGGAGAUUUUCCUAGAGGGGGCCAGGGAGGUUCCUCUGAACCCUAAGCCUCUUUCUCUCUCAUCCCCAGCAGAAAAGAUGUGACAAUGUCUGUCUUGGCAGAAUAAAUAAGAGCGAUAAGUUCACCUGAGGAUAGUCUGUGUUAU
Chlorocebus sabaeus (green monkey) is the source of this 896-nucleotide non-coding RNA. The record is from the annotation of a RefSeq genome assembly. Lineage: Eukaryota; Metazoa; Chordata; Mammalia; Primates; Cercopithecidae.